RNAcentral lists this transfer RNA (76 nucleotides) under Ehrlichia sennetsu str. Miyayama. Its description in RNAcentral is "Neorickettsia sennetsu str. Miyayama tRNA-Gly-GCC-1-1". It matches the Rfam family "tRNA". Rfam says of the family: Transfer RNA (tRNA) molecules are approximately 80 nucleotides in length. Their secondary structure includes four short double-helical elements and three loops (D, anti-codon, and T loops). RNAcentral also lists the same sequence under 1 other name. The record is from RNAcentral. Lineage: Bacteria; Pseudomonadati; Pseudomonadota; Alphaproteobacteria; Rickettsiales; Anaplasmataceae.
GCGGAAGUAGUUCAGUUGGUAGAACGCAACCUUGCCAAGGUUGAGGCCGAGGGUUCGAGUCCCUUUUUCCGCUCCC